RNAcentral lists this ribosomal RNA (477 nucleotides) under uncultured bacterium. RNAcentral describes it as "bacterial SSU rRNA". It matches the Rfam family "Bacterial small subunit ribosomal RNA", at positions 365 to 832 of the family's 1533-position model. The record is from RNAcentral.
UUCGCAAUGCCCGAAAGGGUGACGAAGCGACGCCGCGUGCGGGAAGAAGGCCUUCGGGUUGUAAACCGCUGUCGGGAGUUAAGAAAUGCAAGGGUGUUAAUAGUAUCCUUGCUUGACUAAGGCUCCGGAGGAAGCCACGGCUAACUCUGUGCCAGCAGCCGCGGUAAUACAGAGGCGGCAAGCGUUGUUCGGAGUUAUUGGGCGUAAAGAGCACGUAGGCGGCUGUGUAAGUCGGUUGUGAAAGCCUUCCGCUCAACGGGAGAACGGCAUCCGAUACUGCAUGGCUUGGGUGCGGGAGGGGAGAGUGGAACUUCUGGUGGAGCGGUGAAAUGCGUAGAUAUCAGAAGGAACACCGGCGGCGAAGGCGACUCUCUGGCCCGUAACUGACGCUGAGUGUGCGAAAGCUAGGGGAGCAAACGGGAUUAGAUACCCCGGUAGUCCUAGCCGUAAACGAUGGGCACUAAGUAGAGGGGUUUU